AUACGGAGGGUGCAAGCGUUGUUCGGAAUCAUUGGGCGUAAAGCGCGUGUAGGCGGUCACUUAAGUCUGGUGUGAAAUCCCGGGGCUCAACCCCGGAAGUGCAUUGGAUACUGAGUAGCUAGAGGACGAGAGAGGGAAGCGGAAUUCCUGGUGUAGGGGUGAAAUCCGUAGAUAUCAGGAGGAACAUCGGUGGCGAAGGCGGCUUCCUGGCUCGUACCUGACGCUGAGACGCGAAAGCGUGGGGAGCAAACAGG
Molecule: ribosomal RNA, 254 nt
Filed under: uncultured bacterium
Lineage: Bacteria
Description: partial 16S ribosomal RNA
Rfam family: Bacterial small subunit ribosomal RNA
Source: RNAcentral